CAGUCGCCGCGGUAAUACGUAGGUGGCAAGCGUUGUCCGGAAUUAUUGGGCGUAAAGCGCGCGCAGGCGGAUCGGUCAGUCUGUCUUAAAAGUUCGGGGCUUAACACCGUGAUGGGAUGGAAACUGCCAAUCUAGAGUAUCGGAGAGGAAAGUGGAAUUCCUAGUGUAGCGGUGAAAUGCGUAGAUAUUAGGAAGAACACCAGUGGCGAAGGCGACUUUCUGGACGAAAACUGACGCUGAGGCGCGAAAGCCAGGGGAGCGAACGGGAUUAGAUACCCCUGUAGUCCCUGUCUCUUAUACA
RNAcentral lists this ribosomal RNA (301 nucleotides) under uncultured bacterium. RNAcentral describes it as "partial 16S ribosomal RNA". It matches the Rfam family "Bacterial small subunit ribosomal RNA", at positions 509 to 809 of the family's 1533-position model. The record is from RNAcentral.